Molecule: ribosomal RNA, 496 nt
Filed under: uncultured bacterium
Lineage: Bacteria
Description: partial 16S ribosomal RNA
Rfam family: Bacterial small subunit ribosomal RNA
Source: RNAcentral
GAUGAACGCUGGCGGCGUGCCUAAUACAUGCAAGUCGAGCGAACGGACGCGAAGCUUGCGUUUCUGAUGUUAGCGGCGCAGGGGUGAGUAACACGUGGAUAACCUACCUAUAAGACUGGGAUAACUUCGGGAAACCGGAGCUAAUCCCGGAUAAUAUUUUGAACCGCAUUGUUCAAUAGUGAGAGACGGUCUUGCUGUCUCUUCUAGAUGCAUCUGCGCUGCAUGAUUUAGUUGUUACGGUAACGGCUUACGAAGGGAAGGAUGCAUAGCCGAGUGGAGGGGGUGUACGGCGACAGUGGAGGUGAGACGCCACCCUGGCACCGAGGGGAGGCAGCGAUUGGUAAGCGUGCGAGAAGGCGAAAGCCUGACAGAGCAACGCCACGUGAGUGAUGAAGGUCUUCGGAUCGUAAAACUGUGUUACUAGGGAAAAACAGCUGUGGAAGUAACUGUACACAUCUUGACGGUACCGAAUCAGAAAGCCACGGCUAACUACGUG